RNAcentral lists this ribosomal RNA (418 nucleotides) under Brevundimonas diminuta. RNAcentral's name for it is "bacterial SSU rRNA". It matches the Rfam family "Bacterial small subunit ribosomal RNA", at positions 29 to 493 of the family's 1533-position model. The record is from RNAcentral. Lineage: Bacteria; Pseudomonadati; Pseudomonadota; Alphaproteobacteria; Caulobacterales; Caulobacteraceae.
AGCGAACGCUGGCGGCAGGCCUAACACAUGCAAGUCGAACGGACCCUUCGGGGUUAGUGGCGGACGGGUGAGUAACACGUGGGAACGUGCCUUUAGGUUCGGAAUAGCUCCUGGAAACGGGUGGUAAUGCCGAAUGUGCCCUUCGGGGGAAAGAUUUAUCGCCUUUAGAGCGGCCCGCGUCUGAUUAGCUAGUUGGUGAGGUAACGGCUCACCAAGGCGACGAUCAGUAGCUGGUCUGAGAGGAUGACCAGCCACACUGGGACUGAGACACGGCCCAGACUCCUACGGGAGGCAGCAGUGGGGAAUCUUGCGCAAUGGGCGAAAGCCUGACGCAGCCAUGCCGCGUGAAUGAUGAAGGUCUUAGGAUUGUAAAUUCUUUACACCGGGGACGAUAAUGACGUACCCGGAGAAGAAGCCC